Bufo gargarizans (Asiatic toad) is the source of this 163-nucleotide long non-coding RNA. RefSeq lists it as uncharacterized. NCBI's taxonomy places the organism in Eukaryota, Metazoa, Chordata, Amphibia, Anura, Bufonidae. The transcript has 4 exons. The record is from RefSeq and is a predicted model, not a curated record.
UACCUGAGGUUAUGGUGACCAUGGUGCCGAGACCCCAUAUAUCGAAGGGCCCCAGGGCACAAUAAUAUUUCCCAGAUUCUUCAGGUUUCACUCCAGUGAGUUUAAGAUAAACUUCUCCUUUAUUUGUGUCUCUUGUUAGAGUUAGACGUCCCUGAAGAGACUG